Molecule: unclassified non-coding RNA, 211 nt
Filed under: plant metagenome
Description: partial contains small subunit ribosomal RNA, internal transcribed spacer 1, and 5.8S ribosomal RNA
Source: RNAcentral
UUUCCGUAGGUGAACCUGCGGAAGGAUCAUUCAUAAUAAAGUAUUUUAUGGCACUUUUUAAAAAUCCAUAUCCACCUUGUGUGCAAUGUUAGAUCUCUUCAAUCUUGGCGAGAUUUUUAUACAUCAACUCAUUCUUUAACUAAUUUGUCUGAAAAAUAUUAUGAAUACUUAAUUCAAAAUACAACUUUCAACAACGGAUCUCUUGGCUCUC